AGCGAACGCUGGCGGCAGGCUUAACACAUGCAAGUCGAGCGGGCCCUUCGGGGUCAGCGGCAGACGGGUGAGUAACACGUGGGAACGUACCCUUUGGUUCGGAAUAACGCUGGGAAACUAGCGCUAAUACCGGAUACGCCCUUUUGGGGAAAGGCUUGCUGCCGAAGGAUCGGCCCGUGUCUGAUUAGCUAGUUGGUGGGGUAAUGGCCUACCAAGGCGACGAUCAGUAGCUGGUCUGAGAGGAUGAUCAGCCACACUGGGACUGAGACACGGCCCAGACUCCUACGGGAGGCAGCAGUGGGGAAUAUUGGACAAUGGGCGCAAGCCUGAUCCAGCCAUGCCGCGUGAGUGAUGAAGGCCUUAGGGUUGUAAAGCUCUUUUGUCCGGGACGAUAAUGACGGUACCGGAAGAAUAAGCCCCGGCUAACUUCGUG
This 433-nucleotide ribosomal RNA is filed under the name uncultured bacterium. RNAcentral describes it as "partial 16S ribosomal RNA". It matches the Rfam family "Bacterial small subunit ribosomal RNA", at positions 29 to 507 of the family's 1533-position model. The record is from RNAcentral.